Molecule: ribosomal RNA, 740 nt
Filed under: uncultured Bacillus sp.
Lineage: Bacteria; Bacillati; Bacillota; Bacilli; Caryophanales; Bacillaceae
Description: bacterial SSU rRNA
Rfam family: Bacterial small subunit ribosomal RNA
Source: RNAcentral
AGGACGAACGCUGGCGGCGUGCCUAAUACAUGCAAGUCGAGCGAAUUUUUGGGAGCUUGCUCCCGAAAGUUAGCGGCGGACGGGUGAGUAACACGUGGGCAACCUGCCUAUAAGACUGGGAUAACUUCGGGAAACCGGAGCUAAUACCGGAUAAUUCUUAUCUACUCAUGUAGAUAAGCUGAAAGACGGUUUCGGCUGUCACUUAUAGAUGGGCCCGCGGCGCAUUAGCUAGUUGGUGAGGUAACGGCUCACCAAGGCAACGAUGCGUAGCCGACCUGAGAGGGUGAUCGGCCACACUGGGACUGAGACACGGCCCAGACUCCUACGGGAGGCAGCAGUAGGGAAUCUUCCGCAAUGGACGAAAGUCUGACGGAGCAACGCCGCGUGAGUGAUGAAGGUUUUCGGAUCGUAAAACUCUGUUGUUAGGGAAGAACAAGUACGAGAGUAACUGCUCGUACCUUGACGGUACCUAACCAGAAAGCCACGGCUAACUACGUGCCAGCAGCCGCGGUAAUACGUAGGUGGCAAGCGUUGUCCGGAAUUAUUGGGCGUAAAGCGCGCGCAGGCGGUCCUUUAAGUCUGAUGUGAAAGCCCACGGCUCAACCGUGGAGGGUCAUUGGAAACUGGGGGACUUGAGUGCAGGAGAGAAGAGUGGAAUUCCACGUGUAGCGGUGAAAUGCGUAGAGAUGUGGAGGAACACCAGUGGCGAAGGCGACUCUUUGGCCUGUAACUGACGCUGA